This is a long non-coding RNA of Alosa alosa (allis shad), 746 nucleotides long. RefSeq lists it as uncharacterized. The record is from RefSeq and is a predicted model, not a curated record. The transcript has 4 exons. NCBI's taxonomy places the organism in Eukaryota, Metazoa, Chordata, Actinopteri, Clupeiformes, Clupeidae.
GCCAGCCAGCAGACCGAGGAGGUCGAGGGCAUGCAAGGUGCCUGAUUCCUGAGGAGAGAACAGACAACCAAAAAGAUGGAACCAAAACACAUAAGAAGCUCCGGCGUCUCACCAGGAUUGUGAUUUCCUGACUCGAGUUGCAGUGCCUCUCCUUCGAAGGUGGACAAAGUCAGGCAGUUGGUCUCUGCUGAUCAGAUCGGUCCCGUUUAAGUUCAGAUGCUGGUCUUCGCUUAACACGACAGCGGUGGCUACAACACAACAGCAGAGGGAUGAAAUUUUCUAUUAUCAAAUUCCUGGAACCACAAAUAACAGACAUUAUUGGCAUAUAGUUCAUUACCACCUUUCUUGACACAGUGAUCAAUGUUGGAUGUUUUCCAUACAGACUCAAAGUCUAAUGCCAAUGAUGAUUCAGAUGGGACUUACAAUUCACUUGUGUUUGUGCAUGUGUGUUUAAGUGUGAGUGUGUAUGUGAGUGUGUAUGAGUAUUAUCAUCAUGCUAGAGGUUGUACAUGUACAAUUAUAUGUCUUCUUGUGACAAAGCUAAAUUCUAGUCUUUAUUUAAUGCCAGAACAUGAUUCUAAUAUGUCUAAAGUGAUUAUUUUACUUGUGAUGUUUGUAACUAUGCACAUACUGUAUAUGUGUUUGUGAAUUUGUCUGUGCAUUGCAUUUUGAAAUUAUAUGUGCAUGCACAUAGUCCCAUAAAAAAGGGGGAAAAAGAAAGAGUGCAUUGGAUGACAAAUAGUAAA